Molecule: ribosomal RNA, 258 nt
Filed under: uncultured bacterium
Lineage: Bacteria
Description: partial 16S ribosomal RNA
Rfam family: Bacterial small subunit ribosomal RNA
Source: RNAcentral
CGGCGGACGGGUGAGUAACGCGUGGACAACCUGCCCUAUGCAGGGGGAUAACAUCCGGAAACGGGUGCUAAUACCGCAUAAGCGCACAGUACCGCAUGGUACAGUGUGAAAAGCUGAGGCGGCAUAGGAUGGGUCCGCGUUGGAUUAGGCAGUUGGCGGGGUAACGGCCCACCAAACCGACGAUCCAUAGCCGGCCUGAGAGGGUGGACGGCCACAUUGGGACUGAGACACGGCCCAGACUCCUACGGAAGGCAGCAG